AUACAGUUGUACUUACAAAAAAUGAGUUUUGGAGUUAACUGCCUUUUGGGGGCAUUGUAAAUCUUCUUUCCCCGUUGCUUUGUGUGGGCUAACAUCAGCCAAUCCAUUUUACUUAGUGGCCUUUGUGGAUUUUUCUAUCAUGUUUUAAUGACCCUUUUGUGCUGUAUUCAUUGGACCAAGUACAUAGGAGAGCUGUCUAUCACAGUUUAGCACUUUUUUUGCAGUCCGUUUUUGUCUGUGUGAGGCAGAGAAGUGUGAAGUUCUUCUUUCUCUUGGCUUUGUGAUUUUGAAGGUGGGUGAUGCCAGCCCUGAGAAGGUUAUUAUCCAUUCCCUUGAAAACUACUUAAGUUGGCUGUCUGUCUUAGACAAUUAUUUUGGGCUCUAGAUCUUGAAUAAAAACAAAUUUAUAUCACUGAAAACCUUGAUGCAGAUGCCCAUGUCUGACAAUUCUCCAUUCAUUCUCUAGGAAUUUGUUGCUGAACACCUCUAGAGGCAAGUGAUUAAGCAUUAUGUAGAAACAAGGUGCUACCAAUUACAAUUUUCUCCAGCAAGUGUAGAAAAACCUGAGUCCCACACCAGCUUUGAUUCAUUCAGUGCUAGAACUGGUACCUAAUGCUGGGUGUUGGGAAAAAUGCUGUUCUGGGGAGAUAUUUUGGUGGGUGAUGAUAAAAAAAAGAUGGAUGUUAAUUUUCCCAGAGUGGAUAGGAGUCAUGGAAUUUCUGGAAGCCUCUACUGUUCCAGUCAACCACCACUCAGAGCUUCAUGGAUUACUCCAGCACUCCACAGCUUUGAUUCCUGGUUCUUUCCCCCUCUUUCCACAUCCCCCUGGGCCCUGCCACCACAAGAAUGUAGAGCAGGAGGUACCAGGAAGACUGGAUCUUCAGUGGAAUGAUAAUU
RNAcentral lists this long non-coding RNA (897 nucleotides) under Anas platyrhynchos platyrhynchos (common mallard). Its description in RNAcentral is "lncRNA (ENSAPLG00000018517.1)". The record is from RNAcentral. Lineage: Eukaryota; Metazoa; Chordata; Aves; Anseriformes; Anatidae.